Molecule: ribosomal RNA, 610 nt
Filed under: Arthrobacter sp.
Lineage: Bacteria; Bacillati; Actinomycetota; Actinomycetes; Micrococcales; Micrococcaceae
Description: bacterial SSU rRNA
Rfam family: Bacterial small subunit ribosomal RNA
Source: RNAcentral
UAGCGGCGUGCUUAACACAUGCAAGUCGAACGAUGAUGGGAGCUUGCUCUGGAUUAGUGGCGAACGGGUGAGUAACACGUGAGUAACCUGCCCUUAACUCUGGGAUAAGCCUGGGAAACUGGGUCUAAUACCGGAUAUGACUCCUCAUCGCAUGGUGGGGGGUGGAAAGCUUUAUUGUGGUUUUGGAUGGACUCGCGGCCUAUCAGCUUGUUGGUGAGGUAAUGGCUUACCAAGGCGACGACGGGUAGCCGGCCUGAGAGGGUGACCGGCCACACUGGGACUGAGACACGGCCCAGACUCNUACGGGAGGCAGCAGUGGGGAAUAUUGCACAAUGGGCGCAAGCCUGAUGCAGCGACGCCGNGUGAGGGAUGACGGCNUUCGGGUUGUAAACCUCUUUCAGUAGGGAAGAAGCGAAAGUGACGGUACCUGCAGAAGAAGCGCCGGCUAACUACGUGCCAGCAGCCGCGGUAAUACGUAGGGGCCAAGCGUUAUCCGGAAUUAUUGGGCGUAAAGAGCUCGUAGGCGGUUUGUCGCGUCUGCCGUGAAAGUCCGGGGCUCAACUCCGGAUCUGCGGUGGGUACGGGCAGANUAGAGUGAUGUAGGGGAGAC